GCCGGGCGUGGUGGCAGGCGCCUGUAAUCCCAGCUACUUGGGAGGCUGAGGCAGGAGAAUGGUGUGAACCUGGGAGGUAGAGCUUGCAGUGAGCCGAGUUCAUGCUACUGCACUCCAGCCUGGGCGACAGAGCGAGACUCUGUCUCAAAAAUAAAUAAAUAAAUAAAUAAAUAAAUAAAUAAAUAUCAACCAAAGGGAAGGUUGUUUAUUUAUUUAUUUUUUUGACGAAGUCUCCCUCCGUCACCAGGCUGGAGUGCAGUGGUGCAAUCUUGGCUCACUGCAACCUCUACC
This 291-nucleotide long non-coding RNA is filed under the name Homo sapiens (human). Its description in RNAcentral is "non-protein coding lnc-PDCL3-3:1". The record is from RNAcentral. Lineage: Eukaryota; Metazoa; Chordata; Mammalia; Primates; Hominidae.